GGCAUCUCCUUGGAAAGCCCUGCCGUAACUUCAUGUGGUACUGGUGUAACAGCUUGUAUUCUCGCAUUGGUAAGACUCUCUCUCUCUCUCUCUCUCUCUCUCUCUCUCUCUCUCUCUCUCUCUCUCUCUCUCUCUCUCUCUCUCUCUCUCUCUCUCUCUCUCUCUCUCUCUCUCUCUCUCUCUCUCUCUCUCUACAAACACACACACAGAGACAAACGUAGGUGUUUGUGUGCGCGCACACUUGUUUAUAUCUUAGUAGGAUGAAAAGGAGAUAGUAGUCCAUCUUUUAUCUCCUUUCUCUUUCCUUUUAGAGAUAGAAACACAUUACAGAGAUGAAUAUUCUUUUCAAUAAUUGCUCAUGAACGUAAACAAUGGUUUUAGUUUUCC
RNAcentral lists this long non-coding RNA (387 nucleotides) under Malus domestica (apple). RNAcentral describes it as "long non-coding RNA (MDOM_LNC009548)". Lineage: Eukaryota; Viridiplantae; Streptophyta; Magnoliopsida; Rosales; Rosaceae. The record is from RNAcentral.